GUACGGGAGGCAGCAGUGGGGAAUCUUGCACAAUGGGGGGAACCCUGAUGCAGCGACGCCGCGUGAGCGAUGAAGCCCUUCGGGGUGUAAAGCUCUUUCGGCAGGGACGAUAAUGACGGUACCUGAAGAAGAAGCUGCGGCUAACUACGUGCCAGCAGCCGCGGUAAUACGUAGGCAGCGAGCGUUGUUCGGAGUUACUGGGCGUAAAGGGUGCGUAGGCGGUGGUCCAAGUCUGGUGUGAAAUCUCCCGGCUCAACUGGGAGGGUGCUCCGGAAACUGGGCCGCUGGAGUGCGGGAGAGGCAAGCGGAAUUCCAGGUGUAGCGGUGAAAUGCGUAGAUAUCUGGAGGAACACCCGUGGUGCAGACGGCUUGCUAGACCGUGACUGACGCUGAGGCACGAAAGCGUGGGUAGCAAACAGGAUUAGAUACCCCGGU
Molecule: ribosomal RNA, 435 nt
Filed under: uncultured bacterium
Lineage: Bacteria
Description: bacterial SSU rRNA
Rfam family: Bacterial small subunit ribosomal RNA
Source: RNAcentral